Molecule: ribosomal RNA, 253 nt
Filed under: uncultured bacterium
Lineage: Bacteria
Description: partial 16S ribosomal RNA
Rfam family: Bacterial small subunit ribosomal RNA
Source: RNAcentral
UACGGAGGGUGCAAGCGUUAUCCGGAAUGAUUGGGCGUAAAGCGUCCGUAGGUGGCAGUUCAAGUCUGCUGUCAAAGACCGGGGCUUAACUUCGGAAAGGCAGUGGAAACUGAACAGCUAGAGUAUGGUAGGGGCAGAGGGAAUUCCUGGUGUAGCGGUGAAAUGCGUAGAGAUCAGGAAGAACAUCGGUGGCGAAGGCGCUCUGCUGGACCAUAACUGACACUCAGGGACGAAAGCUAGGGGAGCGAAUGGG